RNAcentral lists this ribosomal RNA (295 nucleotides) under Clostridioides difficile. Its description in RNAcentral is "partial 16S ribosomal RNA". It matches the Rfam family "Bacterial small subunit ribosomal RNA", at positions 542 to 841 of the family's 1533-position model. The record is from RNAcentral. Lineage: Bacteria; Bacillati; Bacillota; Clostridia; Peptostreptococcales; Peptostreptococcaceae.
UAUCCGGAUUUACUGGGCGUAAAGGGUGCGUAGGCGGUCUUUCAAGUCAGGAGUGAAAGGCUACGGCUCAACCGUAGUAAGCUCUUGAAACUGGGAGACUUGAGUGCAGGAGAGGAGAGUGGAAUUCCUAGUGUAGCGGUGAAAUGCGUAGAUAUUAGGGGGAACACCAGUUGCGAAGGCGGCUCUCUGGACUGUAACUGACGCUGAGGCACGAAAGCGUGGGGAGCAAACAGGAUUAGAUACCCUGGUAGUCCACGCUGUAAACGAUGAGUACUAGGUGUCGGGGGUUACCCCC